CGAAGCAACGCGAAGAACCUUACCAGGUCUUGACAUCCCCUGACAACCCAAGAGAUUGGGCGUUCCCCCUUCGGGGGGACAGGGUGACAGGUGGUGCAUGGUUGUCGUCAGCUCGUGUCGUGAGAUGUUGGGUUAAGUCCCGCAACGAGCGCAACCCUCGCCUCUAGUUGCCAGCAUUCGGUUGGGCACUCUAGAGGGACUGCCGGCGACAAGUCGGAGGAAGGUGGGGAUGACGUCAAAUCAUCAUGCCCCUUAUGACCUGGGCUACACACGUGCUACAAUGGGCGGUACAAAGGGCUGCGAACCCGCGAGGGGGAGCGAAUCCCAAAAAGCCGCUCUCAGUUCGGAUUGCAGGCUGCAACUCGCCUGCAUGAAGCCGGAAUCGCUAGUAAUCGCGGAUCAGCAUGCCGCGGUGAA
This 417-nucleotide ribosomal RNA is filed under the name Geobacillus stearothermophilus. Its description in RNAcentral is "bacterial SSU rRNA". It matches the Rfam family "Bacterial small subunit ribosomal RNA", at positions 952 to 1366 of the family's 1533-position model. Lineage: Bacteria; Bacillati; Bacillota; Bacilli; Caryophanales; Anoxybacillaceae. The record is from RNAcentral.